AGGUCUUGCCUGCCCAGUGACAAGUUAAACGGCCGCGGUAUUUUGACCGUGCGAAGGUAGCGCAAUCACUUGUCUUUUAAAUGAAGACCUGUAUGAAUGGCGGAACGAGGGCUUAACUGUCUCCCCUUUCAAGUCAAUGAAAUUGAUCUGCCCGUGCAGAAGCGGGCAUGCAACUACAAGACGAGAAGACCCUUUGGAGCUUAAGAUACAAGAUCAACUAUGUCAAAAGUAUCCAAAAUAAAACUAAACUAAAUAGCACCUGAUCUAUAUCUUCGGUUGGGGCGACCACGGGAGAAAGCAAAGCUCCCACGUGGACUGGGGCUAACCCCCUAAAACCAAGAAAGACAUUUCUAAGUCACAGAAUAUCUGACCAUAAAGAUCCGGCUACCUGCCGAUCAACGGACCAAGUUACCCUAGGGAUAACAGCGCAAUCCCCUUUCAGAGUCCAUAUCGACAAGGGGGUUUACGACCUCGAUGUUGGAUCAGGACAUCCUAAUGGUGCAGCCGCUAUUAAGGGUUCGUUUGUUCAACGAUUAAAGUCCUACGUGAUCU
Molecule: ribosomal RNA, 552 nt
Filed under: Franciscodoras marmoratus
Lineage: Eukaryota; Metazoa; Chordata; Actinopteri; Siluriformes; Doradidae
Description: partial 16S ribosomal RNA
Rfam family: Bacterial large subunit ribosomal RNA
Source: RNAcentral